GAUGAAGAACGUAGCGAAAUGCGAUACUUGGUGUGAAUUGCAGAAUCCCGUGAACCAUCGAGUCUUUGAACGCAAGUUGCGCCUCAAGCCAUUAGAUUGAGGGCACGUCUGCCUGGGCGUCACAUAUCGUUGCCUGAUGCCAGUUUCCUCGUGAUGGGUGACUGUGCAGGGCGAAUGAUGGCUUCCCGUGAGCAUUGUUGCCUCAUGGUUGGUUGAAAAUUGAGUCCUUGGUAGGGAGCGCCGUGAUAGAUGGUGGUUGAGUGACGAACGAGACCCAAUCAUGUGAGACCCCUACCGAAUUUGGCCUUCAUGACCCACAUGCGUCUUUGGAACGCUCAUGACGAGACCUCAGGUCAGGCGGGGCUACCCGCUGAGUUUAAGCAUAUCAAUAAGCGGAGGA
Molecule: unclassified non-coding RNA, 400 nt
Filed under: soil metagenome
Description: partial contains 5.8S ribosomal RNA, internal transcribed spacer 2, and large subunit ribosomal RNA
Rfam family: 5.8S ribosomal RNA (bases 1-122)
Source: RNAcentral